AACGUAUGUGUUCGGCAAUAAUUGUGGAGACUGUGGAAUAUAGAUAAAUUUCAUUAAUUAUAUAUUGUGCACUAGUAUGAAAUGUAACGAUCCCCUUCAAAUCCCAAUCUACAUGGAUUUUGGAGUAAAACAAACUGUGCAAGACGAUACCUCGUAGAUUGACUCGUCGUCAGUGCUCGUAUCUGCAAUUGACUUGUUGUCGGUGCUGGUAGACGACAGACAUCCAUUCACGCAGUCACGCCACACUGGGUUCAAGCAAUUACAGCACAUGUUGAUGAUCCCCGAUAGACACGGAGACUGUCCGUACCUGCAGUUGCGGCACCUCUUGAAUCUGUUCGCGGCCACGGAUGGCUUUGCUCCAGCUUUUCCUUUGUUCGCUGCCGAGGACGGCUUCGCGGCAGGUUUUGCUGGCUUUCUCAUCUCGGUGGCAGCGGCGGUGAUGGUGUUGAA
This 450-nucleotide long non-coding RNA is filed under the name Sorghum bicolor (sorghum). Its description in RNAcentral is "long non-coding RNA (SBIC_LNC008684)". The record is from RNAcentral. Lineage: Eukaryota; Viridiplantae; Streptophyta; Magnoliopsida; Poales; Poaceae.